RNAcentral lists this ribosomal RNA (497 nucleotides) under uncultured bacterium. RNAcentral's name for it is "partial 16S ribosomal RNA". It matches the Rfam family "Bacterial small subunit ribosomal RNA", at positions 28 to 507 of the family's 1533-position model. The record is from RNAcentral.
GAUGAACGCUGGCGGCGUGCCUAAUACAUGCAAGUCGAGCGAACGGACGAGAAGCUUGCUUCUCUGAUGUUAGCGGCGGACGGGUGAGUAACACGUGGAUAACCUACCUAUAAGACUGGGAUAACUUCGGGAAACCGGAGCUAAUACCGGAUAAUAUUUUGAACCGCAUGGUUCAAAAGUGAAAGACGGUCUUGCUGUCACUUAUAGAUGGAUCCGCGCUGCAUUAGCUAGUUGGUAAGGUAACGGCUUACCAAGGCGACGAUGCAUAGACGACCUGAGAGGGUGAUCGGCCACACUGGAACUGAGACACGGUCCAGACUCCUACGGGAGGCAGCAGUAGGGAAUCUUCCGCAAUGGGCGAAAGCCUGACGGAGCAACGCCGCGUGAGUGAUGAAGGUCUUCGGAUCGUAAAACUCUGUUAUUAGGGAAGAACAUAUGUGUAAGUAACUGUGCACAUCUUGACGGUACCUAAUCAGAAAGCCACGGCUAACUACGUG